UACACAACAUGAGUGAGUUAAACGAUGAUGAUCUGAAGAAGAAGACGAAGAAGAGGAGAGGCUUGUUGUUGCAGGCGGGAUUCUUGUUCAUUUUGCAGUUCCGAGGAGAGCUAUGGAAUCCAACAGCAUCAAGACAUUGCGGAAAACGACCUGAUCUUAAGCUCUUGUGACGGUAGUUCAAGGAUGCUAAAGGAGUGAGGAAAUUUUACGUUCGACUCUUCGAUACACGCAGCUUUUGGAACAAUUCGAAGGAACAUGUUAAGUCCAGCGAGUUCGAGAACUGUCCCUCUCCAUGUUAUCAUGCAUUCUGACCGCCUUCCCAUGCCGAUUGGUAUCUGAUGAAUUUCUUGGAGGGCUUUUCUUGGAGAGCCAAGUUAAAGAUAUAUCAGAGCUGACAUCUCUUGUAUUAAAUUAAUUCCAUUCUCUGGUUUCUCAGUGUCUUCGUUCAUGAGGAUCGAUGUUGUAUAUUCAGCUUUGUUUCAGGAACUCCUUGUCGAAGUUUACGUGUCGGUCGUUUAGGAGUUAGCUAUGGCUAUAUGGCUCUUUUGACUCAUCUUUAUGUCUUCUCAAGAACUUGCUACAGUCUCGUGGGAGUUAGAUUUCUAGUGUGGUUGCUUUCUGUGCAUUUCAAAUUGAGGUUUUCUUUUUCUCAUGUUCAAACGAAGUUCGUCUCUACUGAUAGAAAUCAGAGCUAAGAUGACAUUGCAAAUCUUGCAAGUUCGAAGGGCCGGAUGUGCAACUGUCUCUACCUUCAAUCACAAAGGCUUUUUCGAAAGUGCCACUAGUUUUGCACGAAUGUUGCAUUUGGCUGCGGAUUAAUUGUGCCCUGGAUAUUGAGCUAGCAACUCCCUUUCACCUCGAUUUUUGUUAUAAUGAGAUUGAGGGCAUAUUUCGGGUAAAUUCAACGUCCGAACCGUUGAAUGAGCUGUGUUUCCGUGAUGCCAUGGAUUCCGCACGAUGCACAUACCUCGAGUUCCUAUCGUAGGUCAUUAUAUGCAAGUAGAUUAGAGCGGCUCUUGUUUUGUUCAAAAAAAAGGUCCAGAAAGUUGCUCUGCAUGGCAGCACUCCUUGCAGCGGUUAUUUUCAAAUUUUUCGUCCACAGUUCUCUCGUUUGCUGUAUCAUACGGAUUCCAAUGUCAUUUGACGAGCCCUUUUCUCUUCCUACGAUUUUCAUUUAUUCUCUCGAAAAUUGUAGCUACAACUGUAGUCCGACAAAGUGUCCAUUGACAAAUGCCAAAUGUAUAAAUCACGUCCAGAGAAAUCCAGCGGACUAUGAAACAGUGGUUCGUGAUUUCAAAACGUAAUGUACCUCUCUCAUUCACGAAACAGCUCCGUCAUCAUUCCUAGGGCUUGUGUGUAUUUGGUAAUUACCAAGUCGUUUGCAGUCCUGAAAACAGUAAUGAAUGUCUGUGUUAUGAACUGCAUAUUCGUGCGGCCUCGACUGCCACAGCGAUCACAUCUUGUGUGCAGAGUUUCCACAUGAGUUGCUACUGGUCUACAUCUUGAUGGCUGCUGUAUACGGCAAGGAAGUUGCAUCAAUUUCACGGAGCUUCAUUGAAGUGACUGGACCCGGUGUGACCUUUUCUACCAUAGAGAUGCUUUGGCAAAAGUUCAGAUUGCAGGUGUUCCAUAGUACUGGAUUACUAUCACCAAGCUCGGAACUCACAUGCCAGUCCAUGUAAAAAAGGCAGGAGAGUUCCGCGGCAGCAAGGGAUUGCUGGACGCUACCAAUCGAUUGGGGUACCGGCCUGCACAUCAUCUGUGCACAUGUUGAUUGAACGUCAGGAACGAUGUACACUUGGCGGUAGAAGAUGCAACCAUGAAUUCAGUGCCGCCGUCGCAUCCCAUCAUACAAUUAUCGACUUCCCAUCGAAGCGGCCAUCCUGACACUUAAGGACGACCGAGUGUCUCUGUUGAUUGUCAUUGGAGCGGUCAAUGUUGCUGAUUCUAGUACAGUUUGUCGGUCUCAUUCAGCUGAGGAUGGUGUCUAGUGGAUGGUGUCUUAGGAAGCUCAACAGAUUUAUCAUUUGUACAGAAUUUGAAGGGAUACUGAGUUAAGCAGCUGCGGCUGCAAUGCGCUGCAACCAAGCAAUCAGAAAAUUGGAGAAAGAUCCAAGGACGUACAUUACUGACGAAAUCUACUCAAAUCUAGGUAGGCAAAGCGUAAGGAAAGAGGAAACCAAAAGCAGAACUUUCCCGAGAGAAUUCCGCGUUUCAUGGAUUCACUCAGACAUCAACUGCCGACGCCAUCGGUCAUGCUUAUUUCUUCUGAUGGAUGUAUGUACUCAAACUGAUCCGAGCAGUCCCAUGGAUCAGUUGCUACAUUUUCAAACUCAGCAUCUACGGGUAGAUUCGGUCAUGCUCUCGAGACCUAAACUUCAAGGGACAUGUGUUCCAAGUCGAUGCAUCAUCGCAGUAUUCGUCAAAUUCCAGCGGUUCCCGUUAACGACAAUCCAAAAUCUGCCUCAGAGUUUGGAGGGAGAGUGUUGGACGCAUUGUAGGAACCGACUACAUCAGUAGCUGCAGAAGUCAAGAAGCCAUGGAACAACCGGCAGAUUGUGUGAGGAGUUGAAACAAGUUCCACCCUGUAGCUGGGCCCAUGGUGUUGAAACUCAUGACACCAUUGCUUAGCCAGUAAUUAUUCCCGCUUUUCUCCUUCAACUCUACCUCCUCACUGUCUCGACGCCAUUGUCUUUUACGACAGCAAUCCCCCAACAGUCCUCUGAGCCCGGAGGAGUCUGCACAGCAUCUCCACCAGGUGAGGAGGUUUGUGACCUUCAGUUGACUACCUGAACUUCAUUCGUAUUAUAAUUAGAGUUGACCUAUUCACGCUAAAUAUCUCGUGUAAUGCUAUUUGCACCACAAAUAUCUCUGGUUGAGAUUCUACUGACUAAUUCUACUGGUGAUGCUAUUUGCACUGAGUAUCUGAGUUGAUACUUUUCACUCUAAAUAUCUUUGCUGAUUACUAGUGUCAUGCAAA
Molecule: long non-coding RNA, 2980 nt
Organism: Physcomitrium patens
Lineage: Eukaryota; Viridiplantae; Streptophyta; Bryopsida; Funariales; Funariaceae
Source: RefSeq, a predicted model, not a curated record